Molecule: ribosomal RNA, 255 nt
Filed under: uncultured bacterium
Lineage: Bacteria
Description: partial 16S ribosomal RNA
Rfam family: Bacterial small subunit ribosomal RNA
Source: RNAcentral
UACGGAGGGGACUAGCGUUGUUCGGAAUUACUGGGCGUAAAGCGCACGUAGGCGGAUUUGUAAGUCAGGGGUGAAAUCCCGGGGCUCAACCUCGGAACUGCCUUUGAUACUGCAAAUCUCGAGUCCGGAAGAGGUGAGUGGAAUUCCUAGUGUAGAGGUGAAAUUCGUAGAUAUUAGGAAGAACACCAGUGGCGAAGGCGGCUCACUGGUCCGGUACUGACGCUGAGGUGCGAAAGCGUGGGGGAGCAAACAGGG